RNAcentral lists this ribosomal RNA (478 nucleotides) under uncultured bacterium. RNAcentral describes it as "partial 16S ribosomal RNA". It matches the Rfam family "Bacterial small subunit ribosomal RNA", at positions 28 to 523 of the family's 1533-position model. The record is from RNAcentral.
GACGAACGCUGGCGGCGUGCUUAACACAUGCAAGUCGAACGGUAAGGCCCUUCGGGGUACACGAGUGGCGAACGGGUGAGUAACACGUGGGUGAUCUGCCCUGCACUUCGGGAUAAGCCUGGGAAACUGGGUCUAAUACCGGAUAGGACCACUGCCUGCAUGGGUGGUGGUGGAAAGCUUUUGCGGUGUGGGAUGGGCCCGCGGCCUAUCAGCUUGUUGGUGGGGUGAUGGCCUACCAAGGCGACGACGGGUAGCCGGCCUGAGAGGGUGGCCGGCCACACUGGGACUGAGAUACGGCCCAGACUCCUACGGGAGGCAGCAGUGGGGAAUAUUGCACAAUGGGCGCAAGCCUGAUGCAGCGACGCCGCGUGAGGGAUGACGGCCUUCGGGUUGUAAACCUCUUUCAGCACCGACGAAGCGCAAGUGAUGGUAGGUGCAGAAGAAGGACCGGCCAACUACGUGCCAGCAGCCGCGGUAA